AAAAUCAUUGAUCUCAUAGGUCUCUGGGACUGUGAUGUACUACUCUUCUGCAUAGCAAUUGCCUUUGUACCACUAUCUAGGAAAAUAUUCCUGGAGGCAUCUAGGUAGCACUGCCCUGCUUUUCCCAAAGUUCUGUGGUCAGGAUGGGUAAGUAAUGCUCACAUGUGAAAUGACCCCUUUCCAAAUCUUUCCUUACGCACAUCACUGAAUUCUGGUACCCAGGCCUUCAGAUCCAUGUCCUUCUGCCUAGAGAAGUCUUUCCUGGGUCACUGGGCACAGCUGUGUCCCUGUGCUGCUCUGUACCAGGAGGUCCUACUUUGGUCCUUUCAUCCUUCCAAAGAUACGUACUGUCUCAGAAGCAAUUGAGAAAAUGGAUCGAGCGAAGUCAAAUCUGAUUUUCUUGAGGAAGAAAAUCGAAUUCACCACUUGGUGAGACAGACAGAGAUGAGAAGGAAAAGGCUCAGAAACACACAGCUCACCUAGGAAAGGAGAGCCAGAGACUUAAAGGGUGAACUAGAGGGAGCUGAGCAGCCAGAAAUGCCAGCCCACAGCACAGCUAAGAAGUCUUAGCUUUAGGCCUCUGGCUUUUCUGGAUGUCAAGCCUUCCGAAUUUAGAACAAGCCCAGGGACUACCACACAUGAUCAUACUGGUUUCAGUUUUAAGUAUUUCUAAAGUCCUCUCAGGUUGAGGGCACCAUAAAGUCAUUUUGGUACAGCAACACCUUCCCAGAAGUGAUAUAAGGGGAGGAAAGAGCUAAGAUUCUGAGAACCUGGUCCAGCAUCUGUGUGCCUCCAGUCUGCCGGGAGUGAGCAUCCAGUCUAGCCUCUGAAGACCCUGCCCCAGCAGCUGCCUCUUCUGGGGAAAUAUCCAAAUGCAUGCGUGUUUUUGCUAUUCCACACUGUCAUUUUGCAAGCAAGUAUGGAGUAGUUUCUAAGUAUCAAGACUAUAAGAAUUUAUGGCUAAAUCUCUGCCUUUAAGGAACCCUUCAUUGUCUGGGAAAAGUGGUUUUAUCUAAAUUAGCCAUGGUGAAUUGUGCUCAGGUCUGUGACAGAAGUGUGUAUCAAAGGACAGGGCAACUCAAGGAAGGACAAAGCCAACUACCCAUGAGAGGGAGUGACAGGUCAAACCUUUGAGGAUAGGGUGCAUUGAGCCAGAUCCUAAAGGAGUUUUACACCAGGAAAGUAGGCAUGAAGGGUUACAGAGAACAACAGAGUAAGCUGAGAUAUAGAGACUUUGUAAUGCACAUGUCCAGAAAUGGUGCACAUCCCAACUUAGCCUUGUCAGGAGACCAGAGGCUGGUGAUGGGGAGAAAGGUGGGCUGGGACUGCUCAAAAUGAGACUUUGAGAAAUUUGGAUGGUUUCGUGAAGCCAACAGAAGAGCCCCCCAGACAAACCCCAGAAGAAACACGGGAAUAAUUCUGAGAGAAAAUUCUACAAUCCAUGUGUUGUGUCAGAGACCUACCAUAGGUCGACUAGGGAUUUGAAUUUAAUGUCACUAAAUGUCAACAUUUUAAGGAACUUUUGAGAGUAGCUGCCACACUGGAUUCCAUGAAACAGUUAUCAGGGACCCACUCUAGGGUAUCAGGGCUAGGGUUGUGGAAGCAUUGGGACUAAAAACAAAGGGAGGCCCCUUAGCUAGUCUCUUAGGCCCUCCUUCAUGGCUUUCUUAUUUUUGUCUAUUUGCUUUGAUUCAUUCAGUAGUGGAGUUAGGAUUUCAGUUGACAACUGUUGCCACAGAGAAGGCUAAAGUGACAGCUAAGGACAGAGACCAAUGGCCUGAGUUUUCAAGGAGAAAACGGAGGAGGGUAAAGCAAACUAAUUACAAGCCCCACAAUGAACUGACCAGCCGGUCCUAACUCCUGCCCCAAGCUUGCUGCAGGUAAGUGCUGGCCAUGCCUUAGCACAGGCUAGACCAAGUAUAGGGAACCACCAACCUUUUUCUCUCUUUCACUCUUGUUGAUCCUUCAACUAGGGUAAGCAGCACCAUUCACUACAAACAGGGAGUUCCCCAUUAGAAUGACCCAAGCAAAGACACUGAAUAUGAACAUCCACACUGAGAAAGACACAGGAGGCCAGAGGAAGGUGUAGGAUGUAGUGGGAGGGGAGUCAACGUGAGUGUGAGCGCACUGCAUUUUCCAAAUUGUGAUGGCUUUCUUUGUGCCCUGCCUCAUUCAGGAAGUCAUCAGUGCACCAGAUACGGAAAAGAGCCCUUUUGUUUGGCUUUGAUCGCACCCGAUAGCUCAGUCUGGCGCAGAGAUCAUGUCUUUGAUCUCUCACAUUGAUGUUAGGUCUCUGGAGCUCACAGGAUUUCCUUGAGUUUAAUUCUUCAUGGCAUCCCUGGCACCACCCUGUCCUCUCCCAUCUAUCACAUGCUGUCCUGGGUCCUCUGGCCUGUUGCCUCAGUGGUUAAGAUGGACCAAGGAAGCAAUACCUCCCCCACCCCCACCCCCUCUCCUGGCAUGGUCUCACGAAUCAUGGUGGUUAAGCCUCGGAAGUGUGGGAAGCCCAUUAACCCAGCAUAAGAAGACAGGGCUUUGUUCCUGGUGCAAGACAUUUCUAGACUAAAUCUCUCACCUCUCUAAGCUUCAAUCUCUUCCUGAGAAAAGCGGGAAUGCACCUGCCUACCUUGGCAUCUGGCACAUAUGCCUGACACCAAGGGAAGGCGCUGUAAAUAUUAUUAAAUGAAAGGCCUAUUGACUGCUUGCUCUAUGACAAAGAGGAAUGCAGGAGGUUUGAUCCUGUUGUUACUUGAAGUGUUGUAAGGACUCUUGGCACAUCAGCAGGGCUCAGACCCGCUUUUCAAUCUCAAUAGAAAAAUUGGAACAC
Molecule: long non-coding RNA, 2827 nt
Filed under: Mus musculus (house mouse)
Lineage: Eukaryota; Metazoa; Chordata; Mammalia; Rodentia; Muridae
Description: long non-coding RNA chr9:34743858-34746685
Source: RNAcentral